Molecule: ribosomal RNA, 527 nt
Filed under: uncultured bacterium
Lineage: Bacteria
Description: bacterial SSU rRNA
Rfam family: Bacterial small subunit ribosomal RNA
Source: RNAcentral
AUCCUGGCUUAGGACGAACGCUGGCGGCGUGCCUAAUACAUGCAAGUCGAACGGUCUUUCUAUGGAAGCUUGCUCCACUGAGAAGAUAGUGGCGAACGGGUGAGUAACACGUGGGUAACCUGCCCAUAAGAGGGGGAUAACAUCCGGAAACGGGUGCUAAUACCGCAUAGUUUUCUUGAUCGCAUGAUCGGGAAAGGAAAGACGGCCUUUGUGCUGUCGCUUAUGGAUGGACCCGCGGCGUAUUAGUCAGUUGGUGAGGUAACGGCUCACCAAGACGAUGAUACGUAGCCGACCUGAGAGGGUGAUCGGCCACAUUGGGACUGAGACACGGCCCAAACUCCUACGGGAGGCAGCAGUAGGGAAUCUUCCGCAAUGGACGAAAGCUGACGGAGCAACGCCGCGUGAGUGAAAGAAGGUUUUCGGAUCGUAAAACUCUGUUGUCAGAGAAGAACAAGUUGGAGAGUAACUGCUCCAGCCUUGACGGUAUCUGACCAGAAAGCCACGGCUAACUACGUGCCAGCCGCGGC